UGAACAAUCAAGAAAUGUUUAACAGAUACAGAAAUACUACAAGAUUCUGAAAGGUUUCAUGAUUUCUUUAUUAUUAAAGAAAAAGGUAUAAAGAGUGCUGGAAAAUUAAAAACCAAAACAUUGCCAAUAUAGGGCUAGUAUAGGCAAUUCUCUCUUCCAUGACACUAGUCUUCAUAAAUGAGCCAUCCGUUAAUUGGUUAUUGUGUCCUAGAAAGAACAUUUUGGUUACACAAAGGAAUUGUGAAAGUAGGUCAAGCCACCACCACAAAAAAAAUAAGCACUCCAUCACUAUAAAUAUUUUAAUAAAGGGCUUUGAUGCUUCUAGAAGGAGGGAAAAUUUUUAACAGCACAUU
Long non-coding RNA from Perognathus longimembris pacificus (Pacific pocket mouse), 353 nucleotides. RefSeq lists it as uncharacterized. Lineage: Eukaryota; Metazoa; Chordata; Mammalia; Rodentia; Heteromyidae. The transcript has 3 exons. The record is from RefSeq and is a predicted model, not a curated record.